UAGCAUAUCAAUAAGCGGAGGAAAAGAAACCAACAGGGAUUGCCCUAGUAACGGCGAGUGAAGCGGCAACAGCUCAAAUUUGAAAUCUGGCGCAAGCCCGAGUUGUAAUUUGUAGAGGAUGCUUCUGGGUAGCGACCGAUCUAAGUUCCUUGGAACAGGACGUCAUAGAGGGUGAGAAUCCCGUAUGUGACCGGCCCGCACCCUUUACGUAGCUCCUUCGACGAGUCGAGUUGUUUGGGAAUGCAGCUCUAAAUGGGAGGUAAAUUUCUUCUAAAGCUAAAUACCGGCCAGAGACCGAUAGCGCACAAGUAGAGUGAUCGAAAGAUGAAAAGUACUUUGGAAAGAGAGUUAAAAAGCACGUGAAAUUGUUGAAAGGGAAGCGCCUGCAACCAGACUUCGCGGCAGUGUUCCGCCGGUCUUCUGACCGGUUCAUUCUCUGUCGCGAGGCCAUCAUCGUCUAGGCCCGCCGGAUAAGACCUUGGGAAUGUAGCUCACCUUCGGGGGAGUGUUAUAGCCCAUGGUGAUGCGGCGAGGCUUGGGCGAGGUCCGCGCUUCGGCAAGGAUGAUGGCGUAAUGGUUGUCGGCGGCCCGUCUUGAAACACGGACCAAGGAGUCUAACAUCUAUGCGAGUGUUCGGGUGUCAAACCCCUACGCGUAAUGAAAGUGAACGGAGGUGGGAACCGCAAGGUGCACCAUCGACCGAUCCUGAUGUCCUCGGAUGGAUUUGAGUAAGAGCAUAGCUGUUGGGACCCGAAAGAUGGUGAACUAUGCCUGAAUAGGGUGAAGCCAGAGGAAACUCUGGUGGAGGCUCGCAGCGGUUCUGACGUGCAAAUCGAUCGUCAAAUUUGGGUAUAGGGGCGAAAGACUAAUCGAACCAUCUAGUAGCUGGUUCCUGCCGAAGUU
This 903-nucleotide ribosomal RNA is filed under the name Septoria hibiscicola. Its description in RNAcentral is "LSU rRNA". It matches the Rfam family "Eukaryotic large subunit ribosomal RNA", at positions 36 to 968 of the family's 3401-position model. Lineage: Eukaryota; Fungi; Ascomycota; Dothideomycetes; Mycosphaerellales; Mycosphaerellaceae. The record is from RNAcentral.